AGCGAACGCUGGCGGCAGGCUUAACACAUGCAAGUCGAACGCCCCGCAAGGGGAGUGGCAGACGGGUGAGUAACACGUGGGAACGUACCCUUCGGUUCGGAAUAACUUGGGGAGACUCAAGCUAAUACCGGAUAAGCCCUUAUGGGGAAAGGUUUACUGCCGAAGGAUCGGCCCGCGUCUGAUUAGCUAGUUGGUGAGGUAAUGGCUCACCAAGGCGACGAUCAGUAGCUGGUCUGAGAGGACGAUCAGCCAAACUGGGACUGAGACACGGCCCAGACUCCUACGGGAGGCAGCAGUGGGGAAUAUUGGACAAUGGGGGCAACCCUGAUCCAGCCAUGCCGCGUGAGUGAUGAAGGCCUUAGGGUUGUAAAGCUCUUUUACCCGGGACGAUAAUGACUGUACCGGGAGAAUAAGCCCCGGCUAACUUCGUGCCAGCCGCCUCGGUAA
Molecule: ribosomal RNA, 447 nt
Filed under: uncultured bacterium
Lineage: Bacteria
Description: partial 16S ribosomal RNA
Rfam family: Bacterial small subunit ribosomal RNA
Source: RNAcentral